GAUGAACGCUGGCGGCGUGCCUAAUACAUGCCAGUCGAGCGAACGGACGAGAAGCUUGCUUCUCUGAUGUUAGCGGCGGACGGGUGAGUAACACGUGGAUAACCUACCUAUAAGACUGGGAUAACUUCGGGAAACCGGAGCUAAUACCGGAUAAUAUUUUGAACCGCAUGGUUCAAAAGUGAAAGACGGUCUUGCUGUCACUUAUAGAUGGAUCCGCGCUGCAUUAGCUAGUUGGUAAGGUAACGGCUUACCAAGGCAACGAUGCAUAGCCAACCUGAGAGGGUGAUCGGCCACACUGGAACUGAGACACGGUCCAGACUCCUACGGGAGGCAGCAGUAGGGAAUCUUCCGCAAUGGGCGAAAGCCUGACGGAGCAACGCCGCGUGAGUGAUGAAGGUCUUCGGAUCGUAAAACUCUGUUAUUAGGGAAGAACAUAUGUGUAAGUAACUGUGCACAUCUUGACGGUACCUAAUCAGAAAGCCACGGCUAACUACGUG
This 497-nucleotide ribosomal RNA is filed under the name uncultured bacterium. RNAcentral's name for it is "partial 16S ribosomal RNA". It matches the Rfam family "Bacterial small subunit ribosomal RNA", at positions 28 to 507 of the family's 1533-position model. The record is from RNAcentral.